GCCGGGCGUGGUGGCACAUGCCUGUAAUCCCAGCAGCUGGGGAGGCUGAGGCAGAAGGAUCAAAUAUUCAAAGCCAUCCUCAGCAACUGUUAGGCACUGAACAACUCAGUGAGAUCCUGUCUCUA
RNAcentral lists this small RNA (125 nucleotides) under Marmota monax (woodchuck). Lineage: Eukaryota; Metazoa; Chordata; Mammalia; Rodentia; Sciuridae. The record is from RNAcentral.